RNAcentral lists this long non-coding RNA (354 nucleotides) under Ananas comosus (pineapple). RNAcentral's name for it is "long non-coding RNA (ACOM_LNC012171)". The record is from RNAcentral. Lineage: Eukaryota; Viridiplantae; Streptophyta; Magnoliopsida; Poales; Bromeliaceae.
GUAAAACAUGCCAUUUUUUUUUUAAAUUGCCUAUCCCACAUAACGUACAGACCCGCCACAAAUACAAAGCUUCUCUAUUCACACAGACAGUCUCCCUUGUAUUUGCACAGCGUACCAUCUUACACAACAAGAUAGAGGAUCAACAAUUACAUUCUACAUUCGCAACCAUUCACAGACAUUCAUUCACAUCCAUAUAUGUAUAGAGAAUAAUUCAGCAAAACUUAUUAGUUAAAAGUGCUCCCCACCCGGAAGCGUUGUUUUUAAACUCUAGAUACAUCAAUCGAAACCAUUCAAAAUCCUUUCGAAAACUGUUUCCCAUACGAAAACUCAACUUUUAAAAGUCGAUUGCCACGA